RNAcentral lists this ribosomal RNA (477 nucleotides) under uncultured bacterium. RNAcentral describes it as "partial 16S ribosomal RNA". It matches the Rfam family "Bacterial small subunit ribosomal RNA", at positions 30 to 507 of the family's 1533-position model. The record is from RNAcentral.
AUUGAACGCUGGCGGCAUGCCUUACACAUGCAAGUCGAACGGUAACAGGUUAAGCCGACGAGUGGCGAACGGGUGAGUAAUGUAUCGGAACGUGCCCAGUCGUGGGGGAUAACUGCUCGAAAGAGCAGCUAAUACCGCAUACGACCUGAGGGUGAAAGCGGGGGAUCGCAAGACCUCGCGCGAUUGGAGCGGCCGAUAUCAGAUUAGGUAGUUGGUGAGGUAAAGGCUCACCAAGCCGACGAUCUGUAGCUGGUCUGAGAGGACGACCAGCCACACUGGGACUGAGACACGGCCCAGACUCCUACGGGAGGCAGCAGUGGGGAAUUUUGGACAAUGGGCGCAAGCCUGAUCCAGCCAUGCCGCGUGCGGGAAGAAGGCCUUCGGGUUGUAAACCGCUUUUGUCAGGGAAGAAAAGGUUCUGGCUAAUACCUGGGACUCAUGACGGUACCUGAAGAAUAAGCACCGGCUAACUACGUG